UACGUAGGGAGCAAGCGUUGUUCGGAAUUAUUGGGCGUAAAGCGCGUGUAGGCGGCUUUGCAAGUCGGGUGUGAAAGCCCUCAGCUUAACUGAGGAAGUGCGCCCGAAACUGCAGAGCUUGAGUACCGGAGAGGAUGGUGGAAUUCCCCAAGUAGAGGUGAAAUUCGUAGAUAUCAGGAAGAACACCUAUGGCGAAGGCAGCACUCUGGGACGGUACUGACGCUGAGACGCGAAAGCGUGGGGAGCGAACAGG
This 253-nucleotide ribosomal RNA is filed under the name uncultured bacterium. RNAcentral describes it as "partial 16S ribosomal RNA". It matches the Rfam family "Bacterial small subunit ribosomal RNA", at positions 524 to 776 of the family's 1533-position model. The record is from RNAcentral.